RNAcentral lists this ribosomal RNA (581 nucleotides) under uncultured archaeon. RNAcentral's name for it is "bacterial SSU rRNA". It matches the Rfam family "Archaeal small subunit ribosomal RNA", at positions 97 to 680 of the family's 1478-position model. The record is from RNAcentral.
CACGUGGAUAACCUGACCUUAGGUGGAGAAUAACCUCGGGAAACUGAGAAUAAUACUCCAUAGAUCUUUGAGGCUGGAAUGCGCUAAGAUUGAAAGCUUCGGCGCCUAAGGAUGAGUCUGCGGACUAUCAGGUUGUAGUCAGGGUAAAGACCUGACUAGCCUACGACGGAUACGGGUUGUGAGAGCAAUAACCCGGAGAUGAUAUCUGAGACACGAUAUCAGGCCCUACGGGGCGCAGCAGGCGCGAAAACUUCACAAUGCGCGAAAGCGCGAUGAGGGGAUCCCAAGUGCUUGCACGUAAGUGUAAGCUGUUUUUCUGUUUAAAAAGCAGAGAGAGUAAGGGCUGGGUAAGACGGGUGCCAGCCGCCGCGGUAAUACCUGCAGCUCAAGUGGUGACCGCUAUUAUUGGGCCUAAAACGUCCGUAGCCGGCUGAGUAAAUGCCUGGGUAAAUCGUGCCGCUUAACGGUACGAAUUCCGGGUAGACUGCUUAGCUUGGGACCGGAAGAAGUUAGAGGUACUCCUGGGGUAGGGGUGAAAUCCUGUAAUCCUGGGGGGACCACCAGUGGCGAAGGCGUCUAAC